CGGGGUGCAGCAGGCGCGAAAACUCUACAAUGCAGGCAACUGCGAUAGGGGAACAUCGAGUGAUACUCAUAUUGGGUGUCUGUCCUUCCGUCUAAAAAACGGGAGUUAGCAAGGGCCGGGCAAGACCGGUGCCAGCCGCCGCGGUAAUACCGGCGGCUCGAGUGGUGGCCGAUAUUAUUGAGUCUAAAGGGUCCGUAGCCGGCUUGGCAAGUCUCUUGGGAAAUCCGGCGGCUUAACCGUCGGUCGUCCGGGAGAUACUACUUUGCUUGGGACUGGGAGAGGCGUGAGGUACUCAGGGGGUAGGAGUGAAAUCCUGUAAUCCUUUGGGGACCACCGGUGGCGAAGGCGUCACGCCAGAACAGGUCCGACGGUGAGGGACGAAAGCUAGGGGCACGAACCGGAUUAGAUACCCGGGUAGUCCUAGCCGUAAACGAUGCUCGCUAGGUGUCACGACAAUCGUGAAUUGUCAUGGUGCCGUAGGGAAGCCGUGAAGCGAGCCACUUGGGAAGUACGACCGCAAGGUUGAAACUUAAAGGAAUUGGCGGGGGAGCACAAGGGCGAAUCGC
Molecule: ribosomal RNA, 566 nt
Filed under: uncultured archaeon
Lineage: Archaea
Description: bacterial SSU rRNA
Rfam family: Archaeal small subunit ribosomal RNA
Source: RNAcentral